CAGAGGUCCCGAGCGUUGUUCGGAUUCACUGGGCGUAAAGGGUGCGUAGGUGGCCUUGCAAGUUUGAUGUGAAAUCUCCGGGCUCAACCCGGAAAAGGCAUUGAAUACUGCGGGGCUGGAGGUUUGGAGGGGGGACUGGAAUUCUCGGUGUAGCAGUGAAAUGCGUAGAUAUCGAGAGGAACACCAGUGGCGAAGGCGAGUCCCUGGACAACACCUGACACUGAGGCACGAAAGCCGGGGGAGCAAACAGGAUUAGAUACCCUGGUAGUCCCGGCCUUAAACGGUGCGCGUUUGCUGUAGGAGGAAUCGACCCCUUUUGUGGCGAAGCUAACGCGAUAAACGCGCCGCCUGGGGAGUACGGUCGCAAGAUUA
Molecule: ribosomal RNA, 372 nt
Filed under: uncultured organism
Description: bacterial SSU rRNA
Rfam family: Bacterial small subunit ribosomal RNA
Source: RNAcentral